RNAcentral lists this ribosomal RNA (536 nucleotides) under uncultured bacterium. RNAcentral describes it as "bacterial SSU rRNA". It matches the Rfam family "Bacterial small subunit ribosomal RNA", at positions 8 to 526 of the family's 1533-position model. The record is from RNAcentral.
AGAGUUUGAUCAUGGCUCAGGAUGAACGCUGGCGGCGUGCCUAAUACAUGCAAGUCGAACGCACAGCGAAAGGUGCUUGCACCUUUCAAGUGAGUGGCGAACGGGUGAGUAACACGUGGACAACCUGCCUCAAGGCUGGGGAUAACAUUUGGAAACAGAUGCUAAUACCGAAUAAAACUUAGUGUCGCAUGACACAAAGUUAAAAGGCGCUUUGGCGUCACCUAGAGAUGGAUCCGCGGUGCAUUAGUUAGUUGGUGGGGUAAAGGCCUACCAAGACAAUGAUGCAUAGCCGAGUUGAGAGACUGAUCGGCCACAUUGGGACUGAGACACGGCCCAAACUCCUACGGGAGGCUGCAGUAGGGAAUCUUCCACAAUGGGCGAAAGCCUGAUGGAGCAACGCCGCGUGUGUGAUGAAGGCUUUCGGGUCGUAAAGCACUGUUGUAUGGGAAGAACAGCUAGAAUAGGGAAUGAUUUUAGUUUGACGGUACCAUACCAGAAAGGGACGGCUAAAUACGUGCCAGCAGCCGCGGUAAUAC